GGCCUUGUAGCUCAGAGGAAUAGAGCACGUGGCUACAAACCACGGUGUCGGGGGUUCGAAUCCCUCCUCACCCA
RNAcentral lists this transfer RNA (74 nucleotides) under Daucus carota subsp. sativus. Its description in RNAcentral is "tRNA trnX-aca". It matches the Rfam family "tRNA". From Rfam's summary of the family: Transfer RNA (tRNA) molecules are approximately 80 nucleotides in length. Their secondary structure includes four short double-helical elements and three loops (D, anti-codon, and T loops). The record is from Rfam by way of RNAcentral. Lineage: Eukaryota; Viridiplantae; Streptophyta; Magnoliopsida; Apiales; Apiaceae.